RNAcentral lists this ribosomal RNA (872 nucleotides) under uncultured bacterium. RNAcentral's name for it is "bacterial SSU rRNA". It matches the Rfam family "Bacterial small subunit ribosomal RNA", at positions 57 to 918 of the family's 1533-position model. The record is from RNAcentral.
GCAAGUCGAGCGGUAGCACAGAGAAGCUUGCUUCUUGGGUGACGAGCGGCGGACGGGUGAGUAACGCGUGGGAAUCUACCUGGUAGUGGGGGACAACAGUCGGAAACGACUGCUAAUACCGCAUACGCCCUUCGGGGGAAAGUGGGGGAUCUUCGGACCUCACGCUAUCAGAUGAGCCCGCGUCGGAUUAGCUUGUUGGUGAGGUAAAGGCUCACCAAGGCGAUGAUCCGUAGCUGGUCUGAGAGGAUGACCAGCCACACUGGGACUGAGACACGGCCCAGACUCCUACGGGAGGCAGCAGUGGGGAAUAUUGGACAAUGGGGGCAACCCUGAUCCAGCCAUGCCGCGUGUGUGAAGAAGGCCUUCGGGUUGUAAAGCACUUUCAGCUGUGAGGAAAGGCGAGUGGUUAAUACCCGCUUGCUGUGACGUUAACAGCAGAAGAAGGACCGGCUAACUCCGUGCCAGCAGCCGCGGUAAUACGGAGGGUCCGAGCGUUAAUCGGAAUUACUGGGCGUAAAGCGCGCGUAGGUGGUUCAGUCAGUCAGAUGUGAAAGCCCCGGGCUCAACCUGGGAACUGCACCUGAUACUGCUGAGCUAGGGUACGGUAGAGGGUAGUGGAAUUUCCGGUGUAGCGGUGAAAUGCGUAGAGAUCGGAAGGAACACCAGUGGCGAAGGCGACUACCUGGACCGAUACUGACACUGAGGUGCGAAAGCGUGGGUAGCAAACAGGAUUAGAUACCCUGGUAGUCCACGCCGUAAACGAUGUCAACUAGCCGUUGGGAUGCUUGGCAUUUCGGUGGCGAAGUUAACGCAUUAAGCGCACCGCCUGGGGAGUACGGGCCGCAAGGUUACAACUCAAUGAAUUGACGGAA